GUCUAUGGCCAUGCCACCCUGAACAAUCCCGAUCCUGUCCGAUCUCGGAAGCUAAGCAGGGUUGGGCCUGGUUAGUACUUGGAUGGGAGACCACCUAGGAAGACCAGGUGCUGUAGGUG
Molecule: ribosomal RNA, 119 nt
Filed under: Pteropus alecto (black flying fox)
Lineage: Eukaryota; Metazoa; Chordata; Mammalia; Chiroptera; Pteropodidae
Also listed under: 1 other name
Source: RNAcentral